UCUCUUGCCUUUCUUCCUAAACCCUAUGAAUCUUCCUAAGCCUUCUACCGUCCUCCAUUUUCAGCUCUAUUUUCAAUUCGAUUUUUCUUCAUCGUCUACAAAAUCACGGAAGGAUACAUCUGAAAUCGCAGACGAUGAGGUGAAUGUUUCCUCCAUUGAAGUUACGAAGCCCUAAUCAAACGUCGCAAAGCUUGACUGACACUUCACAACGACGGUGAAGCACGACUUAGUUCGGUUCCGAUUGAAGUUCCUUAUCGCCGUUCUAGGGUGCAUUGUCAAGAAAGUGGUGAAGAAAGUUCUGAGAGUGAAUCGAUUUAUGCUGCACUCAAAUGCCACAUAUCUCACGAGGUGAACCAUUUGCACGAAGGGCUAAAAUAUAUUAUCAACCAAAAUGGAUAGACAGGCUAAAAGACGAUAAGAAUUAAGCAAUAUUGAAAAUACUAAAUCAGACCUGGCCGAAGAAAUGUAUGAAAUUACGGAUAGAAAGGCAAAAGUGGCUACAAAGAAGAAAGCCCCAAUAGCAAAACGUCCCAAAAUGGUAAUAUCUCCCAAACAACAUACACAACCACCCAGACAACCCCAAGCCACAAAACCAUCACCGACCAAAAAACCACCACCUGCCACAAAACCACCACCGACCACAAAACCACCACUGACCACAAAACCACCACUGACCACAAAACCACCACCGACCACAAAACCACCACCGACCACAAAACCCUCGACAACUCAAAGCAAAAUAAAUUUACCAAAGAAAAGGCCUAGUCCAUCCAAAGAAGCUUCAACAUAGUUUGGAAUUUUUCUCUUCUGAAGCUGUCCAAGUUGAAGCUAACUCAACAAAAUUGGUCAAUACACGUGCCCUUAUUCUGGAAAAUACUGAAUCAACUUAACACCAAUCUAAUAUAGAAAGGGAAGAAGAUGAUGGCAAUUCAAUGGAAGAAUGAGACUUACAAAAUCUUAGCCAGUCAACAAAGACAUACCUUGAAAUAGUUGGAGAGAAAUUUUACCCGAAUAUCUUGAAAAACAUACAUUGAAUCAUCACAGGCUAUUGGAGGGGGCCAUACGUGAACUGGAAUCAAGUUCCAGAAGAUAUUAAGACUAUGUGGUGGGAACAAUUCAUAGUAAAUUUAAUUGUAUAAACUAUAAUUAAUUUUCAGUAGCAAGUAUUUGUCCUUGUACAACUUUGUUUAAAUUUCUAUGUCCAUUUAUAGGAGUCAUUUAAGUGGGAUCCUACUAAUGUGGGGGAUGUGAAUAAAUUAUUCAAAAAGAAGGCUAGUGCAAAAAUCAGAAAUUUUAUGAAUAGGGCCAAAAAAUCUUUGAAGAAGCCCUCACACAUUACUUUAGAACAUUGGACUAAGAUGAGGAAAAUUUUUGUUGAACCUAAGUAUUCGCAGAAGUGCACGAUGGUGCAACAUAUUGUGGAGGUUCUAUCCCGGCUAUUGAGCACCAAAGAAGAUUGACCGAGGAACUAGGAAGCCCACAACCAUUUAUGAGACAUUUGAAAAGACCAUUUAAAAAGAAAGAUGGAACAUGGAAUGGGAAAAGGGCAGUAGAAGUUAUGAAUUAUUUCACUCAGCUCAAUCAAACUCAGGAAUCUAUGGAUAUGAAUGAGAAAAAAUUGGAAAUGGAGUUGUGAAUGGAGGCAUCGGGGAAAUCCAAGAGUGGCCGUGUAUUUGGAAUAGGAUACAUGGGUAGGAAACAAGUAUUUCAGAAUGGCCAGUUCAGUACACAACUAAGUUUAGAGGUAAAUACCCUAAAAAAGCGGUAAGUACUUUGCAAAUGCAAAAUUCAGAGAAAGAUAAAGAGAAUGAAAUUCAUAAAGAAGAAUAUACACAACAACAAGAGAUAAUUAAACUGUUAGAAUCCAGUCAAGUUGAAUUGGUUCAGGACAAAGUUCAUCUUCAAAAUGAAAUAAAGUCUUUAAAUGAAAAAAUGGAUGAAUUCAUUAGAUUAUGGAAAGCAUCGGGUCAACAAACGAGCCAAAACAUUACAACUCCGGAGGGAUUAUAAAGAAGGUUAGUGAUUUCAAUCUUGUAUUUAGUUUAUAUGCUUCAUUUAUAAAUGCAAGGUAAAUGCUAUUGAGUGGAGUUAUAAUAUGAAUGUAUGAAGUAUGUUGUAUUAUUAGUUUGAUUAUUUAUGCUAAUAGGUAGUUAUAAUUAGAUAAAUAAAUAGAUAGUUGAGAAAAAUAAUAUAGACAUUUUGUCAAAUCAUGUUUAAUCCUGAAUAUUUUGAACAUGUUUAUUUGUAAAAUACCUAGGCUUUGAAGUUGUUUAAUUUGUAUAAUAUAAAAAAAUUGGAUUUUUUGUCUAAUGCUAUUGGAGAAUGCUCUAUUGGUGGGAUUGGUCUUUUGGCUUUAAAUGUUGUAAGAAAAUCAUUAUAUUUGAUAUGUUCAAUAAAUGAAUUAGUUACAAAAUCUAAUUAGUUAAUUAUUUUGUUAAAUGUACACAGGUUUGUCUAUUGGAAGUAUAUUUGGCAAUGGAUGGGGUGACCAAUGAUGGGGUCCAACAUAAUGGAAGUAUA
Impatiens glandulifera is the source of this 2520-nucleotide long non-coding RNA. RefSeq lists it as uncharacterized. The transcript has 7 exons. The record is from RefSeq and is a predicted model, not a curated record. Lineage: Eukaryota; Viridiplantae; Streptophyta; Magnoliopsida; Ericales; Balsaminaceae.